RNAcentral lists this small nuclear RNA (104 nucleotides) under Mus spicilegus (steppe mouse). The record is from RNAcentral. Lineage: Eukaryota; Metazoa; Chordata; Mammalia; Rodentia; Muridae.
GUGCCCGCUUCGGCAGCACGUACACUAAAAUUGGAAUGAUACAGAGAUUAGCAUGGCCCCUGUACAAGGAUGAUACGCAAAUUCGUGACGCGUUCCAUUUUUUU